Molecule: ribosomal RNA, 446 nt
Filed under: uncultured Bacillota bacterium
Lineage: Bacteria; Bacillati; Bacillota
Description: bacterial SSU rRNA
Rfam family: Bacterial small subunit ribosomal RNA
Source: RNAcentral
GAGCCCGCACAAGCAGUGGAGUAUGUUGUUUAAUUCGAAGCAACGCGAAGAACCUUACCAGGUCUUGACAUCUGCGGAAGUCGGCGUAAUGGCUGAUGUGCCCUUCGGGGAACCGCAAGACAGGUAGUGCAUGGUUGUCGUCAGCUCGUGUCGUGAGAUGUUGGGUUAAGUCCCGCAACGAGCGCAACCCUUGCGAAUAGUUGCCAGCGCAGAAAUGCGAGGAACUCUAUUCGGACUGCCGUUGAUAAAACGGAGGAAGGUGGGGAUGAUGUCAAAUCAUCAUGCUCUUUAUGAUCUGGGCUACAAACGUACUACAAUGGCGCGAACAACGGGGAGCCAAAGGCGCGAGCCGGAGCAAAUCCCAAAAACGCGUCCCAGUUCGGAUUGCAGGCUGCAACUCGCCUGCAUGAAGUUGGAAUUGCUAGUAAUCGCGGGUCAGCAUACCG